UACGUAGGAGACGAGCGUUGUCCGGAGUUACUGGGCGUAAAGGGUGCGCAGGUGGCCGCGCGCGUGGGGAGUGAAAUCGCCUGCUUAACUGGGCGGGGGCUUUCCAGACGGCGUGGCUUGAGCCACAGAGGGGGGCGUGGAAUUCCGGGUGGAGCGGUGAAAAUGCGUAGAGAUCCGGAGGAACACCGACGGCGCAGGCAGCGCCCCUGGGCUGUGAUAGCUGACACUGAGGCACGAAAAGCUGGGGGGGAGCAAAACAGGG
This 262-nucleotide ribosomal RNA is filed under the name uncultured bacterium. RNAcentral describes it as "partial 16S ribosomal RNA". It matches the Rfam family "Bacterial small subunit ribosomal RNA", at positions 524 to 777 of the family's 1533-position model. The record is from RNAcentral.